RNAcentral lists this long non-coding RNA (884 nucleotides) under Rosa chinensis. RNAcentral describes it as "sRNA RchiOBHm_Chr2g0139861". The record is from RNAcentral. Lineage: Eukaryota; Viridiplantae; Streptophyta; Magnoliopsida; Rosales; Rosaceae.
AUGUGGAUAGUUGCAUAUGUUGUGAGAAUUGGCCUCAAACAUGCAGAUCGCCUGCUGCUGGUGUGCUUAAAGAUUGUCAGGUGGCGAUGAAUGCGAUUACAGAGGAUGUGGCGUGCUAUGCUAUGCUAAAGGAGGUGCAUUCUGGAGGAAGUGAACAGCUCGGUGGCGUUUCUAAUAAGUUCAUCUCGUAUUAUCCUUGAGAUACAGCAUCACAGUCACCUCAAUCAAUCACUUACAAUAGGGUAUCUACUACACAGCCAAUUAGCUGGAUGCCACAUACCCAUUCAAGGUUGAAAUUGAAUGAAGAAAGCUUGUGAUGUUCGUUGGGAAGAGUUGGUAUAGGAGCAGUUGUGAGGGAUGGAGAAGGAAAGUUGAAAGCUGCACUACUAUUUUCUUUCACAAGCGGUCUCUUACCUCAUGCAACUGAAGCCUUGGCGGUAUUGUAUGGAAUGAGGUUUUGCUUGAAUGUUAUUGCAAAUACAAGUAGCUAGAAAGUGUUGCCAUGAAUGUGAUCUCAGCUAUCAACAAUUCUGAAUAAGAUUUGAGCAUGGACGGCACAUAUUUCAAGAACUUAAAUAUCUGAGGAAGUUAUUUGGAGUAAACUACCAAGACAUUGCAAUAGAGCUUCUCCAGAGUGUUUAGAAAUUAGAAGGAAGCCGGCCCCCUCUAUGGGUUGAGGAAGUUCCGAUAGGUGAUAUGUCUAGUUGAUUUAUACUGGUGUGGUAGUCUUUUUUUCCUUGCUCGGGACAUUGCAACAGUGCUGCUCCAGAGUAUUUAUCUAUAAUUGCAACUAGAAAAGUAGAAGUUGGAAGGAAAGCAUUUGUACUGGUUAUGAUUAUUCACCUUUUCUUAACUCGCUCUCAUCAAGCAAGGUUUGUGACUAU